AUGCCUUUUCAAACUCUUUUGUGGCAAAAGUUGGCAUUUUCUUUAACAUUCUAUUAUUUCAAUUAUAUAUCUUCUAUUGCUUUCUCCCGGAGGCAUUGUGUUGCUGCUCUCUUCAAACCUUCUUCUUGCUCUUGUCAAGAGCAUGUUUUUUUCGUGCUUAUCCAUUUAACCGGAGUGCUGUCUGAGAUCUUUCUUACCCCUUAUUCCAUUCAUUCAAUAGUUACGGAGGUAGUGUAUUGUGAUUUCAUCAAGUAUCUUCUCAUCUUAUCAAGUUCUUAUUCAAUUUCUUUUCUUUUCAAUCGGAGUGCUGCCCGAAGUUGUUCUUCCUUGUUCCUCUUUUCUAAUGGAGUGUUUUCAACUUCGUUCAUCUCCGUCGUAUUCUUUUCUCGAAAUGGCUAA
This 399-nucleotide ribosomal RNA is filed under the name Triticum aestivum (bread wheat). Its description in RNAcentral is "partial small subunit ribosomal RNA". The record is from RNAcentral. Lineage: Eukaryota; Viridiplantae; Streptophyta; Magnoliopsida; Poales; Poaceae.